UCAGGAUGAUGAUGGGAAGGCAAUGUUAGAUGACGAAAGUGGUUGGGAAGGUCUCUCCAUGUCGAGGCGACCUUAUUUAUAGCGGUAGGGAUAUGAAACGGCAUCAAGAAACUCAAAACUUGUCGGCUUCCUCCGCGGGUUAAAAUUGAAUCCGAUGGGUUCUCUGCUCGUCGUUAAUCAUUGGGCUUACUACAGGCAUUUACAUGCUCGCCAGAGGGAGCUGGAGCAAUUAAGGCUUGGUCUUACUGAUUCUGUGGCCGGAGCUUUGUCGGCAAAUGCAAACAAGGGGUGGCGCCUGUUUGCAAGAGAGGAGCGGGUGGGG
RNAcentral lists this unclassified non-coding RNA (322 nucleotides) under Hevea brasiliensis (rubber tree). Lineage: Eukaryota; Viridiplantae; Streptophyta; Magnoliopsida; Malpighiales; Euphorbiaceae. The record is from RNAcentral.